GUUCAUUCGAGGACAUCCAAUAAAAUUGGAACGAUAUAAAGAAGAUUAACAUGACUCGUGCACAAUAUAACAUGCAUAAAUUAAUAAAUAUAUUACUCUCCC
Molecule: small nuclear RNA, 102 nt
Organism: Salvia hispanica
Lineage: Eukaryota; Viridiplantae; Streptophyta; Magnoliopsida; Lamiales; Lamiaceae
Source: RefSeq, a predicted model, not a curated record